GUGGGGAAUAUUGGACAAUGGGCGAAAGCCUGAUCCAGCAAUGCCGCGUGAGUGAUGAAGGCCUUAGGGUUGUAAAGCUCUUUUACCAGGGAUGAUAAUGACAGUACCUGGAGAAUAAGCUCCGGCUAACUCCGUGCCAGCAGCCGCGGUAAUACGGAGGGAGCUAGCGUUGUUCGGAAUUACUGGGCGUAAAGCGCGCGUAGGCGGCUACUCAAGUCAGAGGUGAAAGCCCGGGGCUCAACCCCGGAACUGCCUUUGAAACUAGGUAGCUAGAAUCUUGGAGAGGUCAGUGGAAUUCCGAGUGUAGAGGUGAAAUUCGUAGAUAUUCGGAAGAACACCAGUGGCGAAGGCGACUGACUGGACAAGUAUUGACGCUGAGGUGCGAAAGCGUGGGGAGCAAACAGGAUUAGAAACCCGGGUAGUCC
RNAcentral lists this ribosomal RNA (425 nucleotides) under uncultured bacterium. RNAcentral's name for it is "partial 16S ribosomal RNA". It matches the Rfam family "Bacterial small subunit ribosomal RNA", at positions 354 to 796 of the family's 1533-position model. The record is from RNAcentral.